This 253-nucleotide ribosomal RNA is filed under the name uncultured bacterium. RNAcentral describes it as "partial 16S ribosomal RNA". It matches the Rfam family "Bacterial small subunit ribosomal RNA", at positions 524 to 776 of the family's 1533-position model. The record is from RNAcentral.
UACGAAGGGGGCUAGCGUUGCUCGGAAUUACUGGGCGUAAAGGGCGCGUAGGCGGAUAUUUAAGUCGGGGGUGAAAGCCCGGGGCUCAACCUCGGAAUUGCCUUCGAUACUGGAUAUCUUGAGUUCGGGAGAGGUGAGUGGAAUGCCGAGUGUAGAGGUGAAAUUCGUAGAUAUUAGCUAGAACACCAGUGGCGAAGGCGGCCAACUGGUCCGACACUGACGCUGAGGUGCGAAAGCGUGGGGAGCAAACAGG